This is a non-coding RNA of Electrophorus electricus (electric eel), 213 nucleotides long. NCBI's taxonomy places the organism in Eukaryota, Metazoa, Chordata, Actinopteri, Gymnotiformes, Gymnotidae. The record is from RefSeq and is a predicted model, not a curated record.
UUGGCCUGGUUGGUUUGGCUGUGGGGAGUUUGGUCGUGUUCUUCAUCUUACUGACCCUGCUCUGGUGCUACAAAACCAACAAACGUCUGAGAUCAGCUGCAGAAUCUCCAUGUCGCUGUACUGGGAGUCAGUCAGACAUUAAUCAGACAUCAGAUCAGACCCAGAGAGAGUCAGGAGAAGCUGCCCACAUAUAUGACACAGCUGAGCCAGCAG